Molecule: ribosomal RNA, 266 nt
Filed under: uncultured prokaryote
Description: partial 16S ribosomal RNA
Rfam family: Bacterial small subunit ribosomal RNA
Source: RNAcentral
UACGGAGGAUCCGAGCGUUAUCCGGAUUUAUUGGGUUUAAAGGGUGCGCAGGCGGAAGAUUAAGUCGGUGGUGAAAUUUUGCAGCUCAACUGUAAAAGUGCCAUUGAUACUGGUUUUCUUGAGUGUGGAUGAAGUAGGCGGAAUUUGUGGUGUAGCGGUGAAAUGCAUAGAUAUCACGAGGAACUCCGAUUUCGCAGGCAGCUUACUAAACCAUAACUGACGCUCAGGCACGAAGGCGUGGGGAUCAAACAGGAUUAGAUACCCGU